Long non-coding RNA from Heterocephalus glaber (naked mole-rat), 348 nucleotides. Lineage: Eukaryota; Metazoa; Chordata; Mammalia; Rodentia; Bathyergidae. The record is from Ensembl.
GAUAAUUCUCAUUUUGGAAAGAAGCUGAAGCACUGUGGUAUCAAAUCCUAUUUCAAGAAAUAGAAGGAGAAAACAACAAAACAACAUGACUACUACCUCUGCCUCCAAUCCCUAAUGGAACUUGAGAUCCACAACGUGUCACCUAUAAAGUUGAGGGAAGAAGCAGAGAUGUAAAUGAAGAGUUUUAUAUAUUAUUGAAGACCAUUACCAGAUGAUUUUAUAUAUCUGCCAAGGAAGAAUGUGUGUUCCCAUGUGAGGAAUUUCCACAAUAAAAUUCUGGCACCACAGCCGAAGAGGAUAGUUUUAUAGAAACGGAGGAAAACAACAGCAAGUAUUUUCCCUGAGGAC